Long non-coding RNA from Gavialis gangeticus (Gharial), 2726 nucleotides. RefSeq lists it as uncharacterized. The transcript is spliced from 2 exons. Lineage: Eukaryota; Metazoa; Chordata; Crocodylia; Gavialidae. The record is from RefSeq and is a predicted model, not a curated record.
AGGAAACAAGAAGUCAAAUACAUUUCUUCUCCCUAGCUACCAAUCUGUCUGUCCUUCCUGAACAGCAGAGGAUCCUCCAGCGUUGGUCUAUGGCAGUCGUGAUGAAAUAAACCUUGAGGCAAGUGUAUAUGCCCAUGGACUGCAUGGUGCUGGCUUCCACGAUGUAGUCCAAGGGCACAUACCCUCACACCAGGGAUCAUGAGAACUCCGCACAGGAAGAGGCCAGUCGGAUGUAACCUUACCUGGGCUGGGUCUGACUGUACCUGAGGGAAAUGGAGCUUGGUUUCAGAUUAGCAGGAGUUACAGCCACAAUCAUCUGCAUGCCCAUGCCAAGCCAGAGACCUUUAAGGCCCUGGUCUUCCUGAAGGUCUACAAAGAUUUUUUUUCCCCUCUACUGUUGUUGUCACCCAGGGAUACUGAUUCCAGCCACACUACACAACAGCCCAUCACACAUCAAGUUCCCAUGCUCCCUGUCUCCAGUUGCCUGGCAUCAUACAACUGUCCUAUAUCAAACAGUCCCUAGGGUCUCCUCCCAAGCAGUCUAUACUGAUCUAUGAACCACCUCACUUGGCUUGGUACCCUUCUUUUGAUGUGGUGCGGUGCUACAAGUAUGCAACACCUGAACAAUGACAUGAUAGUUUGGUUUAAAGCCAUAAGUUCUUUCAAUACCAAAUUCCUUUGCGAGUUCUUUCCCGACCUUCUCUCCACAGGAGCCAAGGACCCACGCUAAAAAAUGCAUGGGUGCAGGAGGCCAACCCGUGUGCCCAGUUAAACUUCUUAAUGCCCAUUCACAGCGGCUCAGCUUUCAGUGUGCCUACAUUCCCUCUGAAAUCAAACUGUGAAAAUUAAUGCUCUGUUUAGCACAAGGUUUGCUCCAUCUAGGUUCAUUAGCAAUCACUGGGGUUCAGGUCUGUGACAUUUCUCUAGUGCUUUAGGAUCCUGCACGGGCAAAAGCUGCUGUCAAAGAGCUACGUUUCCUUUCACUUACAACAAUCAGAGCCUUGUGCUUAAUUUGCUGCACUCAGCAAUUAAAAGAAAGUUACCUUGCGUGCUAUCUUUUGCAAGGGACCAUUUCUGCCAAACAUGCUGAAUCAAAAGGAAACUACUUUUGGCAGAAAGCCACUUGAACUGACUCUCCAAAAGUCAUGUCACCACACAGUAGGUAUCAAGUGCCAACACUGAACCACUCUUCUACCCCAACACCAGCAACCCCUCACUGCCACCUACACUCCUCCGCUGAUUGGUCACAAUGAGGCUCCUGCUCUUUGGAGAAUCCAUCAUACUUUUACAUACUGGUUCAGUAUUUCAGCUAGUUAGUAGCUCCUUAUAAAACAAUACUCUGGUGGUAUGUAAAACUGCUCAGAGAGGGCCAGCCAUCCAACUUGCUAUCUGCUUCCUUGUCCUGGGUCACAUACAAAUCCACUGAAUUGCUGCGUUUGUUCCCAUGCUCCCCAUCGAGAAAAGGAUAUGUGGCUGAGACAGUCAAGAAUUCAGUGUCUUUCACUCAUAAAAACUUGAAGUCUGGGCUAAGAGAUGUCAAGGCCCAAUUCUAAUCAGUUGUAAGAGAAGUGAAAGGUUCCAUCCUUGGGGAGCUCAAAAAAAUCUCAGCCCCCAGUAUUCAGGAGUCCUGAUGGACAUUCGAAAGUCUUACUCUGUGUCAAAGACCCUAAACAGUCAUGUCAGUACUCAAAACCUACAAUUUUCAGUGAUCAAUAAUCACACAAAUCUCUAGUUCAGAGUCCGGUUAGGUCAGUAAACUGAGAGUGUCAGAAACAGGCCUACUAAGAGAAGCAAAGUAGGUAAGUAAGCUGUGCUAUCACAGAUCUGUCCCUACCACAGUAUAUUAAACAACCGAUCCUUCCUCCCACCCCUGCCAUUUCUCUCCCUAGUACAGGAAUAAAGUUAGCUAUGGGGUCAGCCUUUCUUUAUUGUUUGCAGUUUUUCUAGUGAUGGAAGCCAGCUGGUAGCAUUUACUGAUGCUGGGGAAAGAAACACGUGGUAGGGAAACAGGCACUUUUAUUGGCCCAGAGUGUCAUUAUGGAUUUGUAAUUGCUGGCAGAGAGCAGAAGGGUGGUUAUCUGUUGUUUUAAUUUAAAAAAAAAGAAAAAUCAUCCUUCACAGUCAGAAGGAAUCCCCCCUCCGUGUGCUCAAUACAAAAAGCCAACCCAAGCUGUGGAGCCGGAACAUUAUUAUUCUUAUUUGCAUGUGGUUUCAAGAUGUUGGCUUGUUAUACACAGAGAUGUAAACUGGUCCCAAAUUUUGCUGUUCACAGAAUUCACGACCAGCCUGCACCCAGAAGAACCCAUCUUUACCAUGUUCCCAAUAUGCUUAAUUACCACAUUUGUCAAAGCUGAAGAGGCCCCACAGACUGCAGCUGGAAAACCAGACCUCUGGGAUUGGUACCACGUUUGCUCCUCUCUACUUCUUAGCUCUUGGAGAGGGUUGACUAAGGGAUGGCACCAUUAGCACUGGGACAUUUGCUUCUUUGAUUCUGGUACAAGCUGGCCCCAAGUCCUAUUCCUUUUGAUGUCAACAGUCAAGUUCCCAUUGGUUUCAACAGAAGAAAUUAAAGAUCAUCCACCCAAAAUGAGUUAACUUGUAGACUCUGCCCAGGGCAUCAGAGCUUAUGGAAGGAAAUAAAAAUAAGCUUCAUUGUAUCUCUGUACUCAUCACUUCUCCCUUAAGUACUGUGAAAAGGGAUCCUAUAAAAAUGCAUAAUGAGCUUC